Molecule: transfer RNA, 78 nt
Filed under: Omnitrophica WOR_2 bacterium RIFCSPHIGHO2_02_FULL_50_17
Lineage: Bacteria; Pseudomonadati; Candidatus Omnitrophota
Description: tRNA-Glu
Rfam family: tRNA
About the family: Transfer RNA (tRNA) molecules are approximately 80 nucleotides in length. Their secondary structure includes four short double-helical elements and three loops (D, anti-codon, and T loops).
Source: RNAcentral
GGCCCCAUCGUCUAGCCUGGUCCAGGACACUUGGUUCUCAGCCAAGGAACACCGGUUCGAAUCCGGUUGGGGCUACCA